This is a long non-coding RNA of Trichomycterus rosablanca, 408 nucleotides long. RefSeq lists it as uncharacterized. The transcript is spliced from 3 exons. NCBI's taxonomy places the organism in Eukaryota, Metazoa, Chordata, Actinopteri, Siluriformes, Trichomycteridae. The record is from RefSeq and is a predicted model, not a curated record.
AGGUUGAUGUGUUCUCUUUUGGGAUUGUACUGUGUGAAAUUCUAGCCAGAAUCCCAGCAGACCCAGAAAUCCUGCCAAGAACUCAGGACUAUGGUUUGGAUGUGUCUGCUUUUAGGAAGAUGGUUUCUGGUUGUCCACAGCGUGUACUGGACCUGGCUGCCAACUGCUGCUUGAUGGAAGCGUUCCGACGGCCGUCAUUCACUGAGGUACUGGAUGAGCUGUCGGAGGUGGUAGAGACCCUGGAGCCACCUGCACAAACAGAUCUGACCACCGGCUGAGCUAUAAUGUUCUACUUUGUGAGCACUCCAAACCAACGUACCUAAACAAAAGUAAGAGGAAACAAGGUCAUCAGAACAACCGGAUCUGUCUUUCACAGAUUUUAAAACUGUAUGGCAGUGGGAAAAAGAA